Molecule: ribosomal RNA, 253 nt
Filed under: uncultured bacterium
Lineage: Bacteria
Description: partial 16S ribosomal RNA
Rfam family: Bacterial small subunit ribosomal RNA
Source: RNAcentral
UACGGGGGGGGCAAGCGUUGUUCGGAAUUACUGGGCGUAAAGCGCGCGUAGGCGGACCUGCAAGUCGGGGGUGAAAGCCCGAGGCUCAACCUCGGAACUGCCUUCGAUACUGCGGGUCUCGAGUCCGGGAGAGGUGAGUGGAAUUCCUAGUGUAGAGGUGAAAUUCGUAGAUAUUAGGAAGAACACCAGUGGCGAAGGCGGCUCACUGGCCCGGUACUGACGCUGAGGCGCGAAAGCGUGGGGAGCAAACAGG